GGGGAGGUGGCUGAGCGGUCAAAAGCAGCAGACUGUAAAUCUGCCGGUGCAAGCCUACGUAGGUUCAAAUCCUGCCCUCCCCA
Non-coding RNA from Candidatus Dadabacteria bacterium, 83 nucleotides. The record is from Rfam. NCBI's taxonomy places the organism in Bacteria, Pseudomonadati, Thermodesulfobacteriota, Candidatus Dadabacteria.